AUCCUUCAGGAACCUUCUUCCCACAGGAGUUGAGCAACAAGCUAAGGUCAAUGGGAAGAUUAAUGUUAAUGCCCAAGACACUAGCUUUGAUGGUAGUGCAAAGGCAAACAGCGGCUUCCAAAUCAACAAGAUCAGUCAGAAGGCUGCAGCAAGGGGUCGUUGGUGGGCUACCAAUUGUAAUGCCCAACAAACCCUUCAACAGGUCCACACAUACACCAAGCUUUAAUGUGUCCCUAGGGCAAGCACCGUUUGAUGGUGUAGGCGAUGGGUUGCUUGGUUUAGGUGAUGGGUUGCUUGGUUUAGGUGAAGGGAGUUUUGGCUUUGGCGAUGGG
Molecule: unclassified non-coding RNA, 332 nt
Filed under: Hevea brasiliensis (rubber tree)
Lineage: Eukaryota; Viridiplantae; Streptophyta; Magnoliopsida; Malpighiales; Euphorbiaceae
Source: RNAcentral